This 1235-nucleotide ribosomal RNA is filed under the name metagenome. RNAcentral describes it as "bacterial LSU rRNA". It matches the Rfam family "Bacterial large subunit ribosomal RNA", at positions 1564 to 2808 of the family's 2925-position model. The record is from RNAcentral.
UGAAUACGAGAUGCUACGGCGUCGAAGCAGUGUAUGUCAGACUUCCAAGAAAAGCUCGCAAUGUCAUAAAUAAAGAAUGCCUGUACCAUAACCGACACAGGUGGGUAGGUAGAGUAUACUAAGGGGCGCGAGAUAACUCUCUCUAAGGAACUCGGCAAAAUAACUCCGUAACUUCGGGAGAAGGAGUGCCUUCUUUAAGAAGGUUGCAAUAACAAGAUCCAAGCAACUGUUUAUCAAAAACACAGGUCUCCGCUAAGUCGUAAGACGAUGUAUGGGGGCUGACGCCUGCCCAGUGCCAGAAGGUUAAAGAAGUUGGUUAGCUUUUGCGAAGCUGAUGACUGAAGCCCUGGUGAACGGCGGCCGUAGCAAUAACGGUCCUAAGGUAGCGAAAUUCCUUGUCGGGUAAGUUCCGACCCGCACGAAAGGCGUAAUGAUUUGGAUACUGUCUCGGAGAGGGACUCGGUGAAAUAGACUUGUCUGUGAAGAUGCGGACUACCUGCACCAGGACAGAAAGACCCUAUGAAGCUUUACUGUAACUUGAAAUUGAAAUUGGACUUUAUUUGCGCAGUAUAGGUGGAAGGCGUUGAAAGUAAUCUUGCGGGAUUAGUGGAGCCAUCAGUGAGAUACCACUCCUAUAAUGUUAGAUUUCUAACUUUGGAUCAUGAUCUGGUCAAAGAACAGUUUCAGGCGGGCAGUUUGACUGGGGCGGUCGCCUCCCAAAUGGUAACGGAGGCGUACAGAGGUUUCCUCUGAACGGGUAGAAAUCGUAUCUAGAGUGUAAAGGCAUAAGGAAGCUUGACUGUGAGACCUACAAGUCGAGCAGGGACGAAAGUCGGUCUUAGUGAUCUGACGGUGCUGAGUGGAAAGGCCGUCACUCAACGGAUAAAAGUUACUCUAGGAUGACAGGCUGAUCUCCCCCAAGAGUUCACAUCGACGGGGAGGUUUGGCACCUCGAUGUCGGCUCAUCGCAUCCUGGGGCGGUAGUACGUCCCAAGGGUUGGGCUGUUCGCCCAUGAAAGCGGUACGCGAGCUGGGUUCAGAACGUCGUGAGACAGUUCGGUCCAUAUCCGGUGUAGGCGUUAGAAUAUUGAGAGGAGCCUUCUUUAGUACGAGAGGACCGAGAAGGACAUACCUCUGGUGUACCAGUUAUCGUGCCAACGGUAAACGCUGGGUAGCUAUGUAUGGAGAGGAUAACCGCUGAAAGCAUCUAAGUGGGAAGCCCACCUCAAGAUGAG